This 723-nucleotide ribosomal RNA is filed under the name Candidatus Phytoplasma pyri. Its description in RNAcentral is "bacterial SSU rRNA". It matches the Rfam family "Bacterial small subunit ribosomal RNA", at positions 356 to 1089 of the family's 1533-position model. Lineage: Bacteria; Bacillati; Mycoplasmatota; Mollicutes; Acholeplasmatales; Acholeplasmataceae. The record is from RNAcentral.
AAGGAAUUUUCGGCAAUGGAGGAAACUCUGACCGAGCAACGCCGCGUGAACGAUGAAGUAUUUAGGUAUGUAAAGUUCUUUUAUUAAAGAAGAAAAAAUGAUGGAAAAAUCAUUCUGACGGUAUUUAAUGAAUAAGCCCCGGCUAACUAUGUGCCAGCAGCUGCGGUAAUACAUGGGGGGCAAGCGUUAUCCGGAUUUAUUGGGCGUAAAGGGUGCGUAGGCGGUUUAAUAAGUCUAUGGUCUAAGUUCAACGCUUAACGUUGUGAUGCUAUAGAAACUGUUUGACUAGAGUUGGAUAGAGGCAAGUGGAAUUCCAUGUGUAGCGGUAAAAUGCGUAAAGAUAUGGAGGAACACCAGUAGCGAAGGCGGCUUGCUGGGUCUUAACUGACGCUGAGGCACGAAAGCGUGGGGAGCAAACAGGAUUAGAUACCCUGGUAGUCCACGCCGUAAACGAUGAGUACUAAGUGUUGGGUUAAACCAGUGCUGAAGUUAACGCAUUAAGUACUCCGCCUGAGUAGUACGUACGCAAGUAUGAAACUUAAAGGAAUUGACGGGACUCCGCACAAGCGGUGGAUCAUGUUGUUUAAUUCGAAGAUACACGAAAAACCUUACCAGGUCUUGACAUACUCUGCAAAGCUAUAGAAAUAUAGUGGAGGUUAUCAGGGAUACAGGUGGUGCAUGGUUGUCGUCAGCUCGUGUCGUGAGAUGUUGGGUUAAGUCCCG